GACGUAGGGUGCGAGCGUUGUCCGGAUUUAUUGGGCGUAAAGAGCUCGUAGGCGGCUCGUCGCGUCGACCGUGAAAACCGGCAGCUUAACUGUCGGCUUGCGGUUGAUACGGGCGGGCUAGAGUUCGGUAGGGGAGACUGGAAUUCCUGGUGUAGCGGUGAAAUGCGCAGAUAUCAGGAGGAACACCGGUGGCGAAGGCGGCAUCCUGGACCGGUAUUGACGCUGAGGCGCGAAAGCUAGGGUAGCAAACGGG
RNAcentral lists this ribosomal RNA (253 nucleotides) under uncultured bacterium. RNAcentral describes it as "partial 16S ribosomal RNA". It matches the Rfam family "Bacterial small subunit ribosomal RNA", at positions 524 to 776 of the family's 1533-position model. The record is from RNAcentral.